AAAAAGAACCUGAAACCGUGUACGUACAAGCAGUGGGAGCACAGGUUUACCUGUGUGACUGCGUACCUUUUGUAUAAUGGGUCAGCGACUUAUAUUCUGUAGCAAGGUUAACCGUAUAGGGGAGCCGCAGGGAAACCGAGUCUUAACCGGGCGUUAAGUUGCAGGGUAUAGACCCGAAACCCGGUGAUCUAGCCAUGGGCAGGUUGAAGGUUGGGUAACACUAACUGGAGGACCGAACCGAC
This 242-nucleotide ribosomal RNA is filed under the name Salmonella enterica subsp. enterica serovar 4,12:d:-. RNAcentral's name for it is "partial 23S ribosomal RNA". It matches the Rfam family "Bacterial large subunit ribosomal RNA", at positions 541 to 783 of the family's 2925-position model. Lineage: Bacteria; Pseudomonadati; Pseudomonadota; Gammaproteobacteria; Enterobacterales; Enterobacteriaceae. The record is from RNAcentral.